AGAAAUGACAGCAUCACUCCCACGGAGCCGCCUCCAUCCCAGUCGUCCCCAUUGUGACAAUCUCAGAGGCUACGUUCUCCAAUGGCUGAGCUACAAGAUGGGGAAAAGCUGCCCAACCUAGUUUGCAAUGCCACCUCAGUAAGCUGAGACGUGGUAAUCGCCAUGGCAACAGGGCUGCAUUAAAAGCACCGUGCACACAAAGUGGAGGGCUGGUGCCUGGCAGAGUUCAGUCUGAUCUCACUGCACAUAUUUCCUAAUUAAGAUGCACCUUUUGGUUUUGUCUUGAAAAAAAAAAAAAGAAAAAGAAAAAGAAAAGAAAGGAAAGGAAAGUGCUCCCUUUAUAGCUACAAGGCAGAAGAAAAAUUAAGGCGAAGAUCCUUUCAUGCCGAAUACGGGCCUUCCAGGUAGUUGCGGCAUGGGGAAUCACGGGCAGCAAGUGAGAAAGUGCACAGUGAUUUGCCGCUGUUACAGCCUGAGAAACUGGGGGAAUGUCAUCGAAGUCCUUGAAUAGCUGGAGAGUGGGUGUGGGAUGGUUAUGUUUGAAAAUGCAGCUCUGAUAUAAACGAAGCAGAGAUUGCAGUGUUUACUCAGCAAGAGCCUAGCUGGAGACCCUAAGCCUGCCUUCUCCCACUUGGAUCGAAGCUUCCGCCAUCAACAGGCCACAAAACCCAUGCUUCCUGCUUUCUGAGGCUUCUGACUUUAGUUCCCCGGAAUCCUCCUUCCUUGUCAGGUGUCUGUGUCCAGGGCUGGGGGAGACCAGACUGAGGUUUGUCCUUGCCUGCCUACGAGGACAAGGCAUACUAUUGCUGUAGACCACUUGUUUACAUGCCCCUAAAAUUCAUAUGUUGAAGCCUGAAUCCCCAGUGUAAUGAUAUUUGGAGGUGGGGCCUUUGAAAGGUGAUUAGGUUUAUAUGAGGUCAUGAGGGUGGGACCCUCAAAACUGGAUUAAUGUUCUUUAAGAAGAGACACAACAGAGCUUGCUUCCUCUCUCUCUAUCAUGUGAAGACGCAGCAAGGAGGUGGCUGUCUGCAAACCAGAAAGAGAGCCCUCACCAGGAACCAGAUCUGCUGGCAGCUUGAUCUUGGACUUCCCAGCCCUUAGAGCUGUGAGAAAUGUUACCUCCAGGUCCAUGAGGUAUUUGUUACAGCACCAGGUGCUGCCUGAGAAUGCUACCUUUAGAGAGGCCCCAGGAAGCCUGUGUGCUGGGUCCCUGGGGAGACAAUGAAGGUGCUUGACACCCGGUUUGAAUAUUGGGUCACUGCAAAGCUGUCUGCUGCUGGAGGACAGCCAGUGAGAGGUCAUAGCAAGACAUCGGAAGAAGCAGAAGUCAUGAGCAGGCUGAUGCUAUGAGACUGAGACAAAAUGACACAUUGCCCCAGGAAGAGGGACAAAGAGGCAGCAGGCAGAAACCGUGGGGAUCAGUAAUCUCCUGCUGCCACUAAGGCCCCGGGACUAACUCGGAUCCAGUACUGCUCUCCUGGGGCCUGUUCUGACUCCAGCCCCUGUCCUUGGGGUCCCCUGAGAUACCUGUAGCCUUGCAAUAAGCCCACAGUAUCAUAUUUCCCCUGCUGACCACACCCUAGAGCAUUUCUAACAAUUUCCCGUGCUUUUCCCCUUCGCACACCACUGGGCCUUUGCAGGCGCUAGUGCCUCCUCGAUUUGCCCUGACUUCUCCUUCAUCCUCAGACUCCUCAGCUUUGUCCCUUCCUAGGGGAGGACUCUCUUUCCCCCAGUGGGCCCCAUGGUCUUCCCUGACGUCCUCACUGCCGUCCUUGUUCUCUGCUCAGAAGGAGGCAGAUGCUGGCCUGUCCCCACUCACCUGUAGACUGACUAGAUGAAUUGACCUGGGCUGGGCAGGGCAGGUGUGUUUGACCAAAUAUCUGGGCACCCCAUGGCCCAGUCAAGUUGACACAUAAAGUUAACUGCCAUAGGGCCCCUUCAUUGUAUUUGUCUAUGAACAAAAAACAGCAUCAACUCCAGGUAUCUGAGGGUUCUGAAGACAGGUUCUGUGAUCCCUUUUUACAGAUGAGGAUGCAGAGGUUCAGUUAUCACUCACCCAGAUCACACCCUCAUCUGCUGAUGGCAAGAGUAUUUGAUGGGAUGUGUGAGCCCGGCCAUCUCCUUCAGGACAUACCGGCUCAUUAAAUUUGCCAGCCCCUGCCUGGAAAAGUAUUUAAUUUGCCUUUUACAAUGCACCGAUUUCAAGUUAAUUAACUGGCAAUUGAAAGUUAUAGGUGGCAUUCGAAUUUAUUAAUAACAUUGGAAAUAAAUCUCCCUGGAAUUCAAUUAA
This is a long non-coding RNA of Cebus imitator (Panamanian white-faced capuchin), 2290 nucleotides long. RefSeq lists it as uncharacterized. The record is from RefSeq and is a predicted model, not a curated record. The transcript has 2 exons. NCBI's taxonomy places the organism in Eukaryota, Metazoa, Chordata, Mammalia, Primates, Cebidae.